Molecule: long non-coding RNA, 10003 nt
Organism: Girardinichthys multiradiatus
Lineage: Eukaryota; Metazoa; Chordata; Actinopteri; Cyprinodontiformes; Goodeidae
Exons: 3
Source: RefSeq, a predicted model, not a curated record
AUUCGACCACCCGAGCAGAUCUGGUACCUUCACUGUCUCUCACAUGAACAGUUAUAAAAUUUGGCCUAUAUUUUCAAUACUCUAGACAUUUAUUUUUAACUUAGUGUCAGUUACAAAUAUAUGUUGUUGCUCAGACAGGGCCUAAGCCAAGCCGACAGAGGUGGUUCUCUAGAGAGAACCAAUAUUGCUUUGAUCAUUUUUCAGGUGUACCUGCAAAGAAGAGAAAGUUAUUGAACAAAUGAGCACAGAGGCGCUGCUUUUAUAGAGGCCGUAUGCAAAUGAGACUAUGCCAUUGCCUGCUUCUGAUUGGCUCUAGUCGGGGGAUCAAAGUCAUUGCUGGCUCUGAUGUCACUCUGUGACAUGUGGUUGAGUUCUUUAAUACAUAUCACUGGAUUGGAUAUCACAUGACUUUCACAUGACACGGGUGCAUUGUUGCUAUGCAACGACUCAGGACUGCUGCAGUAGCAGCGUCAGAAGUACACAAAACUGAUUCUUUAUGAAACUAGGUUGUUUACGGUGUGUGUCUGGAACUAUUACUUGUUAGACCAAAUAUCACUUAUACCUUAACAUGCCAUAAAACCAAAUAUAUUAUUCCACAUAUCAGUUCCAGUGUUUACAUAUCUCCGUUGAUAGAAAUAUUAAUAAAAGGCAGUGACCUACCACCCUAAAGUCCAAACACUUAACAUAAAACCCCACACUUCAUUAAUUCUGCACACGGAUUCUGCUAUCGGGACUUUUAGAAGUGGUGGUUAGGCUGUGGUAAGUUCCUUUCGAAGGUUAACGGGAGAUCUCUUUCAAAAGUUGUCCAUGUUUUGUACAAACCGCAAUCCCCCACAAAGAUACGUCAGUAGGUUCUCCGGACCAACCACAAUGUUUUACGUCUUCGUAAAACCAAUAUUCAGCCAAUCAGAUAGUGUGACGUCAUCAGCAGGCAUAGGGCCCCGAGCAGAUUCGACCACCCGAGCAGAUCUGGUACCUUCACUGUCUCUCACAUGAACAGUUAUAAAAUUUAGCCCAUAUAUUCAAUACUCUAGACAUUUAUUUUUAACUUAGUGUCAGUUAGUGUCAGUUACAAAUAUAUGUUGUUGCUCAGACAGGGCCUAAGCCAAGCCGACAGAGGUGGUUCUCUAGAGAGAACCAAUAUUGCUUUGAUCAUUUUUCAGGUGUACCUGCAAAGAAGAGAAAGUUAGUAAACAAAUGAGCACAGAGGCGCUGCUUUUAUAGAGGCCGUAUGCAAAUGAGACUAUGCCAUUGCCUGCUUCUGAUUGGCUCUAGUAGGGGGAUCAAAGUCAUUGCUGGCUCUGAUGUCACUCUGUGACAUGUGGUUGAGUUCUUUAAUACAUAUCACUGGAUUGGAUAUCACAUGACUGUCACAUGACACGGGUGCAUUGUUGCUGUGCAACAACUCAGGACUGCUGCAGUAGCAGCGUCAGAAGUACACAAAACUGAUUCUUUAUGAAACUAGGUUGUUCACGGUGUGUGUCUGGAACUAUUACUUGUUAGACCAAAUAUCACUUAUACCUUAACAUGCCAUAAAACCAAAUAUAUUAUUCCACAUAUCAGUUCCAGUGUUUACAUAUCUCAGUUGAUACAAGUAUUAAUAAAUGGCAGUGACCUACCACCCUAAAGUCCAGACACUUAACAUAAAACCCCACACUUCAUUAAUUCUGCACACGGAUUCUGCUAUCGGGACUUUUAGAAGUGGUGGUUAGGCUGUGGUAAGUUCCUUUCGAAGGUUAAUGGGAGAUCUCUUUCAAAAGUUGUCCAUGUUUUGUACAAACCGCAAUCCCCCACAAAGAUACGUCAGUAGGUUGUCCGGACCAACCACAAUGUUUUACGUCAUCGUAAAACCAAUAUUCAGCCAAUCAGAUAGUGUGACGUCAUCAGCAGGCAUAGGGCCCCGAGCUGAUUCGACCACCCGAGCAGAUCUGGUACCUUCACUGUCUCUCACAUGAACAGUUAUAAAAUCUGGCCUAUAUUUUCAAUACUCUAGACAUUUAUUUUUAACUUAGUGUCAGUUACAAAUAUAUGUUGUUGCUCAGACAGGGCCUAAGCCAAGCCGACAGAGGUGGUUCUCUAGAGAGAACCAAUAUUGCUUUGAUCAUUUUUCAGGUGUACCUGCAAAGAAGAGAAAGUUAUUGAACAAAUGAGCACAGAGGCGCUGCUUUUAUAGAGGCCGUAUGCAAAUGAGACUAUGCCAUUGCCUGCUUCUGAUUGGCUCUAGUCGGGGGAUCAAAGUCAUUGCUGGCUCUGAUGUCACUCUGUGACAUGUGGUUGAGUUCUUUAAUACAUAUCACUGGAUUGGAUAUCACGUGACUUUCACAUGACACGGGUGCAUUGUUGCUAUGCAACAACUCAGGACUGCUGCAGUAGCAGCGUCAGAAGUACACAAAACUGAUUCUUUAUGAAACUAGGUUGUUCACGGUGUGUGUCUGGAACUAUUACUUGUUAGACCAAAUAUCACUUAUACCUUAACAUGCCAUAAAACCAAAUAUAUUAUUCCACAUAUCAGUUCCAGUGUUUACAUAUCUCCGUUGAUACAAGUAUUAAUAAAAGGCAGUGACCUACCACCCUAAAGUCCAAACACUUAACAUAAAACCCCACACUUCAUUAAUUCUGCACACGGAUUUUGCUAUCGGGACUUUUAGAAGUGGUGGUUAGGCUGUGGUAAGUUCCUUUCGAAGGUUAAUGGGAGAUCUCUUUCAAAAGUUGUCCAUGUUUUGCACAAACCGCAAUCCCCCACAAAGAUACGUCAGUAGGUUGUCCGGACCAACCACAAUGUUUUACGUCAUCGUAAAACCAAUAUUCAGCCAAUCAGAUAGUGUGACGUCAUCAGCAGGCAUAGGGCCCCGAGCAGAUUCGACCACCCGAGCAGAUCUGGUACCUUCACUGUCUCUCACAUGAACAGUUAUAAAAUUUGGCCUAUAUUUUCAAUACUCUAGACAUUUAUUUUUAACUUAGUGUCAGUUACAAAUAUAUGUUGUUGCUCAGACAGGGCCUAAGCCAAGCCGACAGAGGUGGUUCUCUAGAGAGAACCAAUAUUGCUUUGAUCAUUUUUCAGGUGUACCUGCAAAGAAGAGAAAGUUAGUAAACAAAUGAGCACAGAGGCGCUGCUUUUAUAGAGGCCGUAUGCAAAUGAGACUAUGCCAUUGCCUGCUUCUGAUUGGCUCUAGUCGGGGGAUCAAAGUCAUUGCUGGCUCUGAUGUCACUCUGUGACAUGUGGUUGAGUUCUUUAAUACAUAUCACUGGAUUGGAUAUCACAUGACUUUCACAUGACACGGGUGCAUUGUUGCUAUGCAACGACUCAGGACUGCUGCAGUAGCAGCGUCAGAAGUACACAAAACUGAUUCUUUAUGAAACUAGGUUGUUUACGGUGUGUGUCUGGAACUAUUACUUGUUAGACCAAAUAUCACUUAUACCUUAACAUGCCAUAAAACCAAAUAUAUUAUUCCACAUAUCAGUUCCAGUGUUUACAUAUCUCCGUUGAUAGAAAUAUUAAUAAAAGGCAGUAACCUCCCACCCUAAAGUCUUAACUACUUAACAUCAAACCCACACUUCAUUGAUUGUGCAUACUGGUGUUGCUCUCGGGACUUUUAGAAGUGGUGGUUAGGCUGUGGUAAGUUCCUUUCGAAGGAUAAUGGGAGAUUUCUUUCAAAAGUCAUCUAUCAAUGUUUCGUACAAACAGCAUUCCCCCCUAAAGGUACAUUAGUAGGUUGUCAGGACCAAUCACAAUGAUUUAUAUCAACGUGCCAAUAUUCAGCCAGUCAGAUAGUGUGAUGUCAUCAGCAGGCAUAGGGCCCCAAGCAGAUCCGACCACCCAAGCAGAUCUGGUACCUACACAGUCUCCCACAUGAGCAGUUAUCAAAUUUGGUCUAUAUUUUCAAUACUCUAGACAUUUAUUUUUUACUUAGUGUCAGUUAGUGCCAGUUACAAAUAUAUGUUGUUGCUCAGACAGGGCCUAAGCCAAGCCGACAGAGGUGGUUCUCUAGAGAGAACCAAUAUUGCUUUGAUCAUUUUUCAGGUGUACCUGCAAAGAAGAGAAAGUUAGUAAACAAAUGAGCACAGAGGCGCUGCUUUUAUAGAGGCCGUAUGCAAAUGAGACUAUGCCAUUGCCUGCUUCUGAUUGGCUCUAGUCGGGGGAUCAAAGUCAUUGCUGGCUCUGAUGUCACUCUGUGACAUGUGGUUGAGUUCUUUAAUACAUAUCACUGGAUUGGAUAUCACAUGACUGUCACAUGACACGGGUGCAUUGUUGCUAUGCAACGACUCAGGACUGCUGCAGUAGCAGCGUCAGAAGUACACAAAACUGAUUCUUUAUGAAACUAGGUUGUUCACGGUGUGUGUCUGGAACUAUUACUUGUUAGACCAAAUAUCACUUAUACCUUAACAUGCCAUAAAACCAAAUAUAUUAUUCCACAUAUCAGUUCCAGUGUUUACAUAUCUCCGUUGAUAGAAAUAUUAAUAAAAGGCAGUAUCCUCCCACCCUAAAGUCUUAACUACUUAACAUCAAACCCACACUUCAUUGAUUGUGCAUACUGGUGUUGCUCUCGGGACUUUUAGAAGUGGUGGUUAGGCUGUGGUAAGUUCAUAUCGAAGGAUAAUGUGAGAUUUCUUUCAAAAGUCAUCUAUCUAUGUCUCGUACAAACAGCCUUCCCCCCUAAAGGUACAUUAGUAGGUUGUCGGGACCAAUCACAAUGAUUUAUGUCAACGUGCCAAUAUUCAGCCAGUCAGAUUGUGUGAUGUCAUCAGCAGGCAUAGGGCCCCAAGCAGAUCCGACCACCCAAGCAGAUCUGGUACCUACACAGUCUCCCACAUGAGCAGUUAUCAAAUUUGGUCUAUAUUUUCAAUACUCUAGACAUUUAUUUUUAACUUAGUGUCAGUUAGUGUCAGUUACAAAUAUAUGUUGUUGCUCAGACAGGGCCUAAGCCAAGCCGACAGAGGUGGUUCUCUAAAGAGAACCAAUAUUGCUUUAAUCAUUUUUGAGGUGUACCUGCAAAGAAGAGAAAGUUAGUGAACAAAUGAGCACAGAGGCGCUGCUUUUAUAGAGGCCGUAUGCAAAUGAGACUAUGCCAUUGCCUGCUUCUGAUUGGCUCUAGUCGGGGGAUCAAAGUCAUUGCUGGCUCUGAUGUCACUCUGUGACAUGUGGUUGAGUUCUUUAAUACAUAUCACUGGAUUGGAUAUCACGUGACUGUCACAUGACACGGGUGCAUUGUUGCUAUGCAACGACUCAGGACUGCUGCAGAAGCAGAGUCAGAAGUACACAAAACUGAUUCUUUAUGAAACUAGGUUGUUUACGGUGUGUGUCUGGAACUAUUACUUGUUAGACCAAAUAUCACUUACACCUUAACAUGCCAUAAAACCAAAUAUAUUAUUCCACAUAUCAGUUCCAGUGUUUACAUAUCUCAGUUGAUACAAGUAUUAAUAAAAGGCAGUGACCUACCACCCUAAAGUCCAAACACUUAACAUAAAACCCCACACUUCAUUAAUUCUGCACACGGAUUCUGCUAUCGGGACUUUUAGAAGUGGUGGUUAGGCUGUGGUAAGUUCCUUUCGAAGGUUAAUGGGAGAUCUCUUUCAAAAGUCGUCCAUGUUUUGCACAAACCGCAAUCCCCCACAAAGAUACGUUAGUAGGUUUUCCGGACCAACCACAAUGUUUUACGUCAUCGUAAACCAAUAUUCAGCCAAUCAGAUAGUGUGACGUCAUAAGCAGGCAUAGGGCCCCAAGCAGAUCCGACCACCCAAGCAGAUCUGGUACCUACACAGUCUCCCACAUGAACAGUUAUCAAAUUUGGUCUAUAUUUUAAAUACUCUAGACAUUUAUUUUUAACUUAGUGUCAGUUAGUGUCAGUUACAAAUAUAUGUUGUUGCUCAGACAAGGCCUAAGCCAAGCCGACAGAGGUGGUUCUCUGAAGAGAACCAAUAUUGCUUUAAUCAUUUUUGAGGUGUACCUGCAAAGAAGAGAAAGUUAGUGAACAAAUGAGCACAGAGGCGCUGCUUUUAUAGAGGCCGUAUGCAAAUGAGACUAUGCCAUUGCCUGCUUCUGAUUGGCUCUAGUCGGGGGAUCAAAGUCAUUGCAGGCUCUGAUGUCACUCUGUGACAUGUGGUUGAGUUCUUUAAUACAUAUCACUGGAUUGGAUAUCACGUGACUGUCACAUGACACGGGUGCAUUGUUGCUAUGCAACGACUCAGGACUGCUGCAGUAGCAGCGUCAGAAGUACACAAAACUGAUUCUUUAUGAAACUAGGUUGUUUACGGUGUGUGUCUGGAACUAUUACUUGUUAGACCAAAUAUCACUUACACCUUAACAUGCCAUAAAACCAAAUAUAUUAUUCCACAUAUCAGUUCCAGUGUUUACAUAUCUCAGUUGAUACAAGUAUUAAUAAAAGGCAGUGACCUACCACCCUAAAGUCCAAACACUUAACAUAAAACCCCACACUUCAUUAAUUCUGCACACGGAUUCUGCUAUCGGGACUUUUAGAAGUGGUGGUUAGGCUGUGGUAAGUUCCUUUCGAAGGUUAAUGGGAGAUCUCUUUCACAAGUCGUCCAUGUUUUGUACAAACCGCAAUCCCCCACAAAGAUACGUUAGUAGGUUGUCCGGACCAACCACAAUGUUUUACGUCAUCGUAAACCAAUAUUCAGCCAAUCAGAUAGUGUGACGUCAUAAGCAGGCAUAGGGCCCCAAGCAGAUCCGACCACCCAAGCAGAUCUGGUACCUACACAGUCUCCCACAUGAACAGUUAUCAAAUUUGGUCUAUAUUUUAAAUACUCUAGACAUUUAUUUUUAACUUAGUGUCAGUUAGUGUCAGUUACAAAUAUAUGUUGUUGCUCAGACAGGGCCUAAGCCAAGCCGACAGAGGUGGUUCUCUAGAGAGAACCAAUAUUGCUUUAAUCAUUUUUGAGGUGUACCUGCAAAGAAGAGAAAGUUAGUGAACAAAUGAGCACAGAGGCGCUGCUUUUAUAGAGGCCGUAUGCAAAUGAGACUAUGCCAUUGCCUGCUUCUGAUUGGCUCUAGUCGGGGGAUCAAAGUCAUUGCUGGCUCUGAUGUCACUCUGUGACAUGUGGUUGAGUUCUUUAAUACAUAUCACUGGAUUGGAUAUCACGUGACUGUCACAUGACACGGGUGCAUUGUUGCUAUGCAACGACUCAGGACUGCUGCAGUAGCAGCGUCAGAAGUACACAAAACUGAUUCUUUAUGAAACUAGGUUGUUUACGGUGUGUGUCUGGAACUAUUACUUGUUAGACCAAAUAUCACUUACACCUUAACAUGCCAUAAAACCAAAUAUAUUAUUCCACAUAUCAGUUCCAGUGUUUACAUAUCUCAGUUGAUACAAGUAUUAAUAAAAGGCAGUGACCUACCACCCUAAAGUCCAAACACUUAACAUAAAACCCCACACUUCAUUAAUUCUGCACACGGAUUCUGCUAUCGGGACUUUUAGAAGUGGUGGUUAGGCUGUGGUAAGUUCCUUUCGAAGGUUAAUGGGAGAUCUCUUUCACAAGUCGUCCAUGUUUUGUACAAACCGCAAUCCCCCACAAAGAUACGUUAGUAGGUUGUCCGGACCAACCACAAUGUUUUACGUCAUCGUAAAACCAAUAUUCAGCCAAUCAGAUAGUGUGACGUCAUAAGCAGGCAUAGGGCCCCAAGCAGAUCCGACCACCCAAGCAGAUCUGGUACCUACACAGUCUCCCACAUGAACAGUUAUCAAAUUUGGUCUAUAUUUUAAAUACUCUAGACAUUUAUUUUUAACUUAGUGUCAGUUAGUGUCAGUUACAAAUAUAUGUUGUUGCUCAGACAGGGCCUAAGCCAAGCCGACAGAGGUGGUUCUCUAGAGAGAACCAAUAUUGCUUUGAUCAUUUUUCAGGUGUACCUGCAAAGAAGAGAAAGUUAGUAAACAAAUGAGCACAGAGGCGCUGCUUUUAUAGAGGCCGUAUGCAAAUGAGACUAUGCCAUUGCCUGCUUCUGAUUGGCUCUAGUCGGGGGAUCAAAGUCAUUGCUGGCUCUGAUGUCACUCUGUGACAUGUGGUUGAGUUCUUUAAUACAUAUCACUGGAUUGGAUAUCACAUGACUGUCACAUGACACGGGUGCAUUGUUGCUAUGCAACAACUCAGGACUGCUGCAGUAGCAGCGUCAGAAGUACACAAAACUGAUUCUUUAUGAAACUAGGUUGUUCACGGUGUGUGUCUGGAACUAUUACUUGUUAGACCAAAUAUCACUUAUACCUUAACAUGCCAUAAAACCAAAUAUAUUAUUCCACAUAUCAGUUCCAGUGUUUACAUAUCUCUGUUGAUAGAAAUAUUAAUAAAAGGCAGUAACCUCCCACCCUAAAGUCUUAACUACUUAACAUCAAACCCACACUUCAUUGAUUGUGCAUACUGGUGUUGCUCUCGGGACUUUUAGAAGUGGUGGUUAGGCUGUGGUAAGUUCAUAUCGAAGGAUAAUGGGAGAUUUCUUUCAAAAGUCAUCUAUCUAUGUUUCGUACAAACAGCAUUCCCCCCUAAAGGUACAUUAGUAGGUUGUCGGGACAAAUCACAAUGAUUUAUGUCAACGUGCCAAUAUUCAGCCAGUCAGAUAGUGUGAUGUCAUCAGCAGGCAUAGGGCCCCAAGCAGAUCCGACCACCCAAGCAGAUCUGGUACCUACACAGUCUCCCACAUGAGCAGUUAUCAAAUUUGGUCUAUAUUUUCAAUACUCUAGACAUUUAUUUUUAACUUAGUGUCAGUUAGUGUCAGUUAAAAAUAUAUGUUGUUGCUCAGACAGGGCCUAAGCCAAGCCGACAGAGGUGGUUCUCUCUAGAGAACCAAUAUUGCUUUGAUCAUUUUUGAGGUGUACCUGCAAAGAAGAGAAAGUUAUUGAACAAAUGAGCACAGAGGCGCUGCUUUUAUAGAGGCCGUAUGCAAAUGAGACUAUGCCAUUGCCUGCUUCUGAUUGGCUCUAGUCGGGGGAUCAAAGUCAUUGCUGGCUCUGAUGUCACUCUGUGACAUGUGGUUGAGUUCUUUAAUACAUAUCACUGGAUUGGAUAUCACGUGACUGUCACAUGACACGGGUGCAUUGUUGCUAUGCAACGACUCAGGACUGCUGCAGAAGCAGAGUCAGAAGUACACAAAACUGAUUCUUUAUGAAACUAGGUUGUUUACGGUGUGUGUCUGGAACUAUUACUUGUUAGACCAAAUAUCACUUAUACCUUAACAUGCCAUAAAACCAAAUAUAUUAUUCCACAUAUCAGUUCCAGUGUUUACAUAUCUCCGUUGAUACAAGUAUUAAUAAAAGGCAGUGACCUACCACCCUAAAGUCCAAACACUUAACAUAAAACCCCACACUUCAUUAAUUCUGCACACGGAUUCUGCUAUCGGGACUUUUAGAAGUGGUGGUUAGGCUGUGGUAAGUUCCUUUCGAAGGUUAAUGGGAGAUCUCUUUCAAAAGUCGUCCAUGUUUUGUACAAACCGCAAUCCCCCACAAAGAUACGUUAGUAGGUUGUCCGGACCAACCACAAUGUUUUACGUCAUCGUUAAACCAAUAUUCAGCCAAUCAGAUAGUGUGACGUCAUAAGCAGGCAUAGGGCCCCAAGCAGAUCCGACCACCCAAGCAGAUCUGGUACCUACACAGUCUCCCACAUGAACAGUUAUCAAAUUUGGUCUAUAUUUUCAAUACUCUAGACAUUUAUUUUUAACUUAGUGUCAGUUAGUGUCAGUUACAAAUAUAUGUUGUUGCUCAGACAGGGCCUAAGCCAAGCCGACAGAGGUGGUUCUCUAGAGAGAACCAAUAUUGCUUUGAUCAUUUUUCAGGUGUACCUGCAAAGAAGAGAAAGUUAGUAAACAAAUGAGCACAGAGGCGCUGCGUUUAUAGAGGCCGUAUGCAAAUGAGACUAUGCCAUUGCCUGCUUCUGAUUGGCUCUAGUCGGGGGAUCAAAGUCAUUGCUGGCUCUGAUGUCACUCUGUGACAUGUGGUUGAGUUCUUUAAUACAUAUCACUGGAUUGGAUAUCACGUGACUGUCACAUGACACGGGUGCAUUG